UAUGACCUUAAUGCUGCCCUGGUUGUGCUCCAUCUCAUCUGAUCUCGGAGGCUAAGCGCGGUCAGGCCUGGUUAGUAUUUAGAUGGGGGACCACCUUGGAAUACCAGGUGCUGUGGCUAUAC
RNAcentral lists this ribosomal RNA (122 nucleotides) under Monopterus albus (swamp eel). Lineage: Eukaryota; Metazoa; Chordata; Actinopteri; Synbranchiformes; Synbranchidae. The record is from RNAcentral.